This 338-nucleotide ribosomal RNA is filed under the name uncultured bacterium. RNAcentral's name for it is "bacterial SSU rRNA". It matches the Rfam family "Bacterial small subunit ribosomal RNA", at positions 28 to 346 of the family's 1533-position model. The record is from RNAcentral.
GACGAACGCUGGCGGCGUGCCUAACACAUGCAAGUCGAACGAAGCAGUUCCGAACGGAGAUUCGUCAAAGUUUGGGAUUGACUUAGUGGCGGACGGGUGAGUAAUGCAUGAGCAACCUGCCCUGCAGAGGGGGACAACAGUUGGAAACGACUGCUAAUACCGCAUGAUGUGCCGAGGGGGCAUCCCUUUGGCACCAAAGAUUUAUCGCUGUGGGAUGGGCUCAUGUCUGAUUAGUUAGUUGGUGGGGUAACGGCCUACCAAGACUGCGAUCAGUAGCCGGACUGGAGAGGGUUGAACGGCCACAUUGGGACUGAGAUACGGCCCAGACUCCUACGGGA